RNAcentral lists this ribosomal RNA (122 nucleotides) under Petromyzon marinus (sea lamprey). The record is from RNAcentral. Lineage: Eukaryota; Metazoa; Chordata; Hyperoartia; Petromyzontiformes; Petromyzontidae.
AGUUAUGACCAAACCAGCUGGAAUGCACUUUAUUUUGUCAAAUCUCGGAAGCUAAGCAGGCAUGACCCUGGAUAGUUCUUGGAUGGGUGACCAUCCCUCACAGCAACAAGUUGCUAUAGGCU